GACGAACGCUGGCGGCGUGCUUAACACAUGCAAGUCGAACGGAAAGGCCCUGCUUUUGUGGGGUGCUCGAGUGGCGAACGGGUGAGUAACACGUGAGUAACCUGCCCUUGACUUUGGGAUAACUUCAGGAAACUGGGGCUAAUACCGGAUAGGAGCUCCUGCUGCAUGGGGGGGGUUGGAAAGUUUCGGCGGUUGGGGAUGGACUCGCGGCUUAUCAGCUUGUUGGUGGGGUAGUGGCUUACCAAGGCUUUGACGGGUAGCCGGCCUGAGAGGGUGACCGGCCACAUUGGGACUGAGGUACGGCCCAGACUCCUACGGGAGGCAGCAGUGGGGAAUAUUGCACAAUGGGCGGAAGCCUGAUGCAGCAACGCCGCGUGCGGGAUGACGGCCUUCGGGUUGUAAACCGCUUUCGCCUGUGACGAAGCGUGAGUGACGGUAAUGGGUAAAGAAGCACCGGCUAACUACGUG
This 468-nucleotide ribosomal RNA is filed under the name uncultured bacterium. RNAcentral describes it as "partial 16S ribosomal RNA". It matches the Rfam family "Bacterial small subunit ribosomal RNA", at positions 28 to 507 of the family's 1533-position model. The record is from RNAcentral.